This 240-nucleotide unclassified non-coding RNA is filed under the name soil metagenome. RNAcentral describes it as "partial contains 5.8S ribosomal RNA, internal transcribed spacer 2, and large subunit ribosomal RNA". The record is from RNAcentral.
AACGCACGAGACCUGCGGACCUGCGGAAGGAUCAUUAACACUCGAACAUCGAACUGUUUUAUCAGUGAGUUUGGUUUUUUUUACCAUGCUCACUGGUAAGACAUGCACCAAUUGUGGUUUGUUAAAGUUUUUAACAGUAAUAUUACUGUUUUUAAAUAAACUCUUUCACUUUUAAGACUUAUUAUUAUUUGUUUGAGAUUGGUAUUUACUUACCUUUUUCAAAUGAAAAAAACAUUUCUU